CGCCAUCUUGUCGCUCCCCUCCCCCGGGCAGUGGCGCAGCGCGUAAUGGCGGUGCUGGGGGGGGGGGGGGGGGGGUGUGAGGGGAGGAGGGGUCGCUACCCCCCGAAACACACCGGGCUCCGUCACCUCCCCUCAGCGCAGGUGCGGACACCAUAACCUCCUGCUGACACAGAAAACACUGAAGCCACUUCCUGGAAUUUGGGUCAGUAAAAGUCCUGACAAACAUGCUCUGAGGGUCAGGACAUACUGACGUAUCCAAGGAAAAGGACAUGAGUUUGGUUGUCCUUGAUCCACACACAGCAAUUAUUCCUCCAUUUCCCUCCUCCAACAAGAGAGCAUAGGGAAGAUUAAACUCCAGAAGGAUGGCUGGAUUCACCGUGGGAUUCAAAAGAAAAACAAAACUUUUCCACAGUAUUCACACAUAAAGCUAAUCUCUGCUUAGGUUUUCCUGCCCUUAAAGUUGGAGCGCUAGAACCAAAGUCCUCCCAUUCCAGAAAUUAAGCCCUGCAAGGUUUAAACAUCCACAAACAAAUCCUUAAAUGAGCAAAACACCUUCUCACAGACAAACCUGUCAGUUCUGUACAGGACAGGGUCUGGCCUUAAACAAAACAUUUCCCAGUUCUCUCCUUCACUCUUCCACAAUGCUCAUUCAUCCAGCUACAACUCCAGAGUUAAAGAUUUAUAUUUGUAUUUCUUCCCCAUGUGCACCUAUUUAUAUAAUUUAAAACCUUGCAGGUGUCUUCACUGAGGCUGCCUGACAGUUAAAAGGAAAAAAGAAAAAGUUUCUGUAUUCUUUUAAAAAGCUAUUACUGGAUGGAGACCCAAAUUUUGUGGGUUUUUUCUGAAAGCAAGUUUCAAAUAAAUCUUUUAAUUCCUUUUCUUCUUACUGCUUUGGAGACAAUUCUAAUUUCUGAACAAUUCUGCAAUGUUUACAUCCCUGCAGUGUCUUCAGUGCUUUUAUAAACAAGGGCAUUGUUUGAGAUAAUUCAUAUGCACUAGAAAAUGACAUUAAUUAAUUCUUUGCUGUGCAAGUUUUAGAAGUAUCAUAGCAAUUUAAACCCUGAUCCUGCAGUCAGGAAAGUCAGUUCUUGGGGAAAACAGUUUUCCCUCUGUUAUUAAGUUGCCAUCUGCACUAGGAAGGACCAUGUAUUCUCGGUUUCACUUUUAUUCUUCCACAGCUGAGUCAGACACAAUUCCCUGGAGGAAGCUGAGCAGCUCCUGAGUACCUGAGUCAAGCACUAAACCAACACUGGAGUCCUCACAAACCCUGCUCACUGUUAAACUCAGCAAGUUUUUAUUGAUGGGCUCGACCAAAACUGCUUAAAACCUGACACUGCCAGGUGCUUCGACACCCAAGGAUUCCCAAAUUUGCUGUUCCUUCACCUGAAGAGCCUCCUCUGGUAGUCCUACUGAAAGGCUACACUGUUAACCCUCAAAUAGCCAGAAAUACAGUUUUCUGGGUGUAGAGGAGGUUGCAUUAGGAAAACAGUGUCACCAGCUGCCACCAAACCCUUGUGGGCUCUGAAGUCAACAUUGUUUACGAAGUUGUAUCUGCCUUUUAGAAUAUUUUUAUCCAACACUGAUAGAUACUGACCUUGUGUACAUGAGCUUCCUUAUCUGUUUUGAAACUAUCAACAGGUCAUAUGAUACUAACCAUCUUAGCAAGCAGAUUUCUCAUCUUACAGAACUAUGGCCUCACUUCUAAGGAAAGGAGAUAUUUUACUAAUCAUAAAGCAACUCAGGCCCUGAAAUCCAGAGCGUGAUACAAAAUAAAUCCUACCAUGGAUGUAAUUCUCAGGUUGCAGUACUGAAAACUUGUUUAUUGCUCUACAGAGCUGCUUAUGAGUAUGAUACAAUAUUUGUGUGAGUCUUUCAUAUUGUAAGCAGGGCAAUAAAAAUAUAACUUCAAUGUUGCCCAGCCACAGGUUAGCAGAGGGACUUGGAAAGAGUCUUUAGUCAACAGCGUAUAUCUCUCAGUAACAUCAGAAAUCUGUCUUUAACAGCAUAAUUUUUACAUGCUCCAUCUGAUCAGUUCUCAAAGUUCUGUGGAUGGUUUUAGGAGUCAAAAGGCACAAUUUUACUGAUUUGGAGGAAUAACAUGAAAAGAAGAAGCACAUGCAACCAUUGAUGGUACUGCUGGUGAGGCCUUCACUAAAAAGUCUGCAUUUCCCUACAGCAGUGGCUAAAAACUCUUUGGACUCCUUGGAGGAAGAAUGAGUCCAUGACUUUCACGCAGGAGAUACUUCUUGAGCUGGAGUCAGGGCACAGGACUGCCACCCAAGGCUAUCACUGAAAUGGCAGCAGAAUAGAGGCAAAGGAAUGGGAGACAAGACAAAGAUGGUCCCCUUUCGA
Chiroxiphia lanceolata (lance-tailed manakin) is the source of this 2352-nucleotide long non-coding RNA. RefSeq lists it as uncharacterized. The record is from RefSeq and is a predicted model, not a curated record. The transcript is spliced from 3 exons. NCBI's taxonomy places the organism in Eukaryota, Metazoa, Chordata, Aves, Passeriformes, Pipridae.